UACAGAGGUCUCAAGCGUUGUUCGGAUUCAUUGGGCGUAAAGGGUGCGUAGGUGGCGCUGUAAGUCAGGUGUGAAAUUUCGGAGCUUAACUCCGAAACUGCAUUUGAUACUGCGGUACUUGAGGACUGGAGAGGAGACUGGAAUUUACGGUGUAGCAGUGAAAUGCGUAGAGAUCGUAAGGAAGACCAGUGGCGAAGGCGGGUCUCUGGACAUUUCCUGACGCUGAGGCGCGAAAGCGUGGGGAGCAAACGGG
Molecule: ribosomal RNA, 253 nt
Filed under: uncultured bacterium
Lineage: Bacteria
Description: partial 16S ribosomal RNA
Rfam family: Bacterial small subunit ribosomal RNA
Source: RNAcentral